Leucoraja erinaceus (little skate) is the source of this 2958-nucleotide long non-coding RNA. RefSeq lists it as uncharacterized. NCBI's taxonomy places the organism in Eukaryota, Metazoa, Chordata, Chondrichthyes, Rajiformes, Rajidae. The record is from RefSeq and is a predicted model, not a curated record. The transcript is spliced from 3 exons.
AGAGGAACUGGCCGAGCUUGGCCGUCAGCGUCCUCGGCGCCUUGUCCUGGCCGGAGGAGCCCGACACCAGUACGUUGAAAGCCCUGUAGAAAGUGUACGGUCCGUGGGAACCGCAGGGAGAGCCGAUCCACUGGAGUCGAGCGGCUCCAUAUCUCCUCCAGCAGUCGGCUGAACAGCUAGGUCCUGGCAGCUGCGCACCUCGCGAUUUAGUUUAGAAAAAACAAUAAAGCGAGGGAAGAAAUAAAAGGGCUGCAAGGAUGGAAGGUUUGACGUCACUGGGAUGAUUGAGUGGGAAGGAGUUUCCAGCGGGCAACCUGGGAUUGGGAAAGGAUUCCCUGCAAAGAAAGUGUUGCCACUUGGAUCCGUCAGUGAUUUUAUCAGUGGCGUGGAGGACAAUUAGAGAUCUGCAAACCAAGCAGAUACAAUGUGGGAAUGUUGCGGUUAUAUCAUCUUCAUGGGAUUGUUCGUUCCGAGGGAAAUUGCUAGUCCCAGCUAGAAAGGAGAGCUACUGAGGAGAUUCCUGGAAAUGUCAUAUUCAGUACACGGUCUCUGCACAUAGAAAUGUUGGAAAACUGGCAUUGCUGACGCCCAGAAUUCCCAUCGUCUUCUCAAACAACCUCUCCGGAUGGAGGGUAACUUGCUUCCACUCUGUUUUUACAUGUUCCCAUGAGACUAAUGUGGGACCAUCAGUUUCCCAAAGGCAGGGCAGGAGGUCGGUGAUUGGGGAGGGGAGUAGUUAGAGCGGUGGUCCACUGUUUACUGGGGGCUUCCUUGUGCAUGUAAUGACUACAAACGCAAAUCAAGCGUGAAUAAUAUGCUGACUCCUCUCGGAUGGGAUACCCUAGAGCUCCGCACAAUCAGGCUAAGAUUGCAAUUUACAAGCAGAUUCACGAAAUCACGCCAUUAAAUCUUCCGUCAUCCCAGUGCACCAACUGCCAUGAAACAAGACAAAAUAAUGGUCCCUACAUCAUCAACUCGCUAAAUUUCAAUAAGCUUUGCUACCAAUAUUCCCUUUACCCAAGGACAAUAAGGGAAUGGAAUAUGUUACCACCCAACACACGUGCUGCUCCCGAUGUUAAGUCAUUUUAAGUCAUGUUAAGUCACAUUGAGCAACUAGAUCUCCUCAACUUGGUCUAAAAGGCCCACUUCAAAAUGUAAUCACUACUCUACUCACUUGACCAGCGCGAAAUAACCGCUUACGAGUUUGUGCAGUAAUCGACCAGAACCAGAACCAGCAUGGACUUGAGGUUGCCAACAUCAUCCCUUAAUGCUCCUUCUCCACCUUGAGCAGGACGUGACCCAAGGGCCACAAGAGAUUUUCCAUGUUUUACAUGGAAACUUUGAACAUAUCUUGAAAUAUUUUCCUUUGUUACUUUUGUAAUAUCUUCCCGUGACAGGGUUUAUAAUAGAGUUCUACUCUCAGUAGAAUGUAAAGGAGAGGAUUUUUGAACAGGGAUAUCAUAUUCGUGAAUAAAGUCAUUAAAGAUAAAUGUAUACCAGGGGAUUGGAGAUUGGAACUCUGCCAAUACAGUUACCAAGUUGUUGGGAUUGUGAGUACGGUUUUUGAUGGGAAAUCUGGGAUAAGUAGGGCAGAACAGGAGGAGACAUUAAACAAUGGAUUGGGCAUAAUAGGACUUUGAAUAGAAAUCUAAGAAGCCAACAAUUGAUCAAUAGUGGCAUUCCACUUGUCCACCUGUGUGAAAAAGUAGCCUCUCAGAUUUCUAUUGGAUUUUUCUCUUCUCAACAUGGGACUAGAGUGUUAAAUUUGUUCAUGACAUGUAUUUUUUAUUUUUAUUUCUAUUUAUUUUUUCAUGUACACUGAAUGGACACUGGUUGAGCAACGUUUUUUUGUUUCCUCUGGGUAUGCGAAUACUCAGGAAAUGACAAUAAAGAUAUACAAUACAAUACAAUACUAUGUCCUCUGGUUCUUGAAUCCCCUACUCUGGGUUAAAAACUCUACAUCCUCCCUAUCUAUUCUUUUCAUGAUUUUAUGCACUUCUUUCAGUUCACCCCUCAGCCUCCUGUGCUCCAAGGAAUAAAGUCCUAGCCUGCCUAACCUCCCCCUAUAUAUAGCCUGGGACCCCAAGUCCUGGCAAUGUCCUCGUAAAUCUUCAGUGCACUCUUUCCAUCUUAAGACUAUAUCAACAAUAUUGCACCUAUAUCACUUACCCCUUCUGGCAGGUCGUUUCACAUACCCACCACCCUAUGUGUGAAAAUGUUGCCCCUCAGGUUCCUAUUAAAUCUUUCCCCUCUCAUCUUACAACUAUGCCCUCUGGUUCAUGAUUUCCCUCCUCUGGGUAAAAUCUCCAGAACCCACUGCCUCACUUACCCUGUCCACCAAGCUACCCAAAAUCUCCUCGAGGAGCCGUUGAACCUUCAGAGAUAGGCUGAACCUGAAGCCCACCUGCCCACGAUGGGCUGAAUGCUGCAAAUGGAUGAGUGUUUAGUUUAGCUUCGUUUAGAGACACAGCCUGGAAACAGACCAUUCGGCCCACCGAGUCCGCGCUGACUAUCAUUAUCUGAAACGCUCUGCCAGGGGUGGUGGUGGAGGCAGUUACAAUAGUGGUUUUUAAAAGAUUUCAGAUGGAUAUGCAGGGAAUAAAUUGAGGUACAUUUAGAAUGAAGAUGAGGAUGAAUUUAUUUCGUAGGAUGGUGAUGGAUCUGUGGAAUUCAUUGCCACAGACCGCGGUGGAGCCCAUGUCAUUAGGUAUUUUUAAAGCGGAGAUUAACAGGUGCUUGAUUAGUAAAGACGACAAAGGUAACAGGGGGAAGGCAGGAGAUCUUGUUUGAGAGACCCCAGAGAUACAAAUCCUCAUGUUCAAAUUCGCGGGAGGCAUUUUGAUACAGGGUCAAUAUUUCUUUAAAGAUUUAGUCAAAUGUUAUUAUGUUGUAUUGAAUGUUCAGCAGUAGAUGAUUGUUGAUUUGAUAGUUUUGUUUUUAAUAAACCUUCUCUGAUAA